This 345-nucleotide long non-coding RNA is filed under the name Elaeis guineensis (African oil palm). RNAcentral's name for it is "long non-coding RNA (EGUI_LNC042443)". Lineage: Eukaryota; Viridiplantae; Streptophyta; Magnoliopsida; Arecales; Arecaceae. The record is from RNAcentral.
UGCCCAUGGUCAGGGGAAUUGAUUGCAAAGGAUAGUGGAGUAGACGCGUGGCCAUCACCGUGGCUCGCCACGUGGAAUCUGUUACGAGGGGUGGAGCAGCGUCCGUUGUCGUGACUCGCCAGUGGAUGGGAGAAUCGCAUGGAAUCCGUCGCAGGAGGUGGAGCAGGUUCGUGGCCGUUAUUGUGGCCUUCCAGGGGGUAGUGGAGCUGUGCGAAAUCUGCCACAGGAAAUGGAGCAGGGUGGCGAUGGUUACUGCAGCCUGUCAGGGAAUGAUGGAACUGCGCGGAGUCCGCCACAGGAAGUGGAGCAGGGUCGUGGCCGUUUUGGUGGCCUGCCAGGGGGCGC